AAUUACCCAAUCCUGACACAGGGAGGUAGUGACAAGAAAUAACAAUACAGGGCUAAUGUCUUGUAAUUGGAAUGAUGGUGACCCAAACCCUCACCAGAGUAGCAAUUGGAGGGCAAGUCUGGUGCCAGCAGCCGCGGUAAUUCCAGCUCCAAUAGCGUAUAUUAAACUUGUUGCAGUUAAAAAGCUCGUAGUUGAACUUUAGCGUGUUCGAGUUUGCCAUUCGUUUGGCCUUUUCGAGUUCGCUUUUGGGUUUUCCCUUUUUACUUUGAGAAAAUUAGAGUGUUUCAAGCAGACUUUUGUCUUGAAUACUUCAGCAUGGAAUAAUAGAGUAGGACUUUGGUUCUAUUUUGUUGGUUAUUGAACCUUAGUAAUGGUUAAUAGGAACGGUUGGGGGCAUUCGUAUUUAA
Molecule: ribosomal RNA, 407 nt
Filed under: Babesia vogeli
Lineage: Eukaryota; Apicomplexa; Aconoidasida; Piroplasmida; Babesiidae
Description: SSU rRNA
Rfam family: Eukaryotic small subunit ribosomal RNA
Source: RNAcentral